GCUUCCUUCUUCUUCUUUUUUUGUUUUUUGGCAGUGACUUCUUCUCGGUUACCCCGGUAGCCUACAGAAAAGAGGACAAAUCCGUGAAAACCGAACGCAGUUUCCCCCCCCCCCCCGGCUCCCCGGUUCGGGAUUUAUUUCGGGAUGCACUUUGAGCUUGGAGGUUCGGUGGAAGAAUGCACACCUGAAUGGCUUCACAGAUGUGAGAGGCUCAUUUGCAUGGUGUGCAGGGAAGCUCUAACAGCAGAAUGACCGUGAUUUAACUGCAGCUCAUUGCUUUGCAGAACAGACAGCAAUGACGAAGAGAGACACGGUGAAUCUGCGGUCAGCAUUCUGAUGGGGACGCCGACAAAACUGCAGCCCCGGAACUACAAAAUAUUAACUUGUGAUGUGAAGAUGAACUUUCCUUUGGAUUUAAAAAAAUAAAUAAAUAAAGUUCAGGCAUGACUA
Xiphophorus couchianus (Monterrey platyfish) is the source of this 450-nucleotide long non-coding RNA. RefSeq lists it as uncharacterized. The record is from RefSeq and is a predicted model, not a curated record. NCBI's taxonomy places the organism in Eukaryota, Metazoa, Chordata, Actinopteri, Cyprinodontiformes, Poeciliidae. The transcript has 2 exons.